Small nucleolar RNA from Impatiens glandulifera, 96 nucleotides. RefSeq annotates it as small nucleolar RNA Z103. NCBI's taxonomy places the organism in Eukaryota, Viridiplantae, Streptophyta, Magnoliopsida, Ericales, Balsaminaceae. The record is from RefSeq and is a predicted model, not a curated record. The transcript has a single exon.
AUGGAAGGGAUGAUGUUUUCCCCAGAUGAUCGAAACUGAAAUUAUUGAGCGCUGUUCUCAUUAUUGAGAAAUCCAAGCCAGGAAUAUCUGAUCCAU